Carassius auratus (goldfish) is the source of this 452-nucleotide long non-coding RNA. RefSeq lists it as uncharacterized. The record is from RefSeq and is a predicted model, not a curated record. The transcript has 3 exons. NCBI's taxonomy places the organism in Eukaryota, Metazoa, Chordata, Actinopteri, Cypriniformes, Cyprinidae.
CCCACACAUACUGCAAGACAUAGAUACAUUAAACAUGGCCAGAGGAAUACUCUGCAUAUGGAGUCUAAUCUACAUGAUAAACGAUCAUUUCGAGAUGACAUUCUUUAUUACAGCCGCUGAGGAACAAAAGCCGACUGCUGAGGUGAAAGGGAUCUGAAAACUGUUCCAGUGACUACAAAGCAAUAGCGAGGCCUCAAGGGACAAAGCUCUUCGCUAGCUGAUGGUUCAGCAAAUUUGUUACCGACAGAGGUUAUGUCAACAUAAGCAGAGCUGUUUUUAGGAGAGGCAGACGAAUGGGCCCAUGGGAACCUAUCAGAACAUGGUGACAAAAAAUAGCCGGUCUCUGGGGCCACACUUAGACUGAAGUGAGAGGACAUGAUCUCCUGGUUUUCAAAACAUGAGAUCAGCUGCUUUCUUGAGUCAAGUCUUUAUCUCCACCAUCUGCCACUGUG